UUUAAUGAGAGUUUGAUCCUGGCUCAGGACGAACGCUGGCGGCGUGCCUAAUACAUGCAAGUAGAACGCUGAGGUUUGGUGUUUACACUAGACUGAUGAGUUGCGAACGGGUGAGUAACGCGUAGGUAACCUGCCUCAUAGCGGGGGAUAACUAUUGGAAACGAUAGCUAAUACCGCAUAAGAGUAAUUAACACAUGUUAGUUAUUUAAAAGGAGCAAUUGCUUCACUGUGAGAUGGACCUGCGUUGUAUUAGCUAGUUGGUGAGGUA
RNAcentral lists this ribosomal RNA (268 nucleotides) under Streptococcus agalactiae. RNAcentral's name for it is "partial 16S ribosomal RNA". It matches the Rfam family "Bacterial small subunit ribosomal RNA", at positions 1 to 259 of the family's 1533-position model. Lineage: Bacteria; Bacillati; Bacillota; Bacilli; Lactobacillales; Streptococcaceae. RNAcentral also lists the same sequence under 1 other name. The record is from RNAcentral.